Molecule: ribosomal RNA, 254 nt
Filed under: uncultured bacterium
Lineage: Bacteria
Description: partial 16S ribosomal RNA
Rfam family: Bacterial small subunit ribosomal RNA
Source: RNAcentral
UACGGGGGGAGCAAGCGUUGUUCGGAUUUACUGGGCGUAAAGGGCGCGUAGGCGGUCGUGACAAGUCACUUGUGAAAUCUCCGGGCUUAACUCGGAACGGUCAAGUGAUACUGUCGGACUAGAGUACAGAAGGGGCAACUGGAAUUCCCGGUGUAGCGGUGAAAUGCGUAGAUAUCAAGAGGAACACCUGAGGUGAAGACGGGUUGCUGGGCUGAUACUGACGCUGAGGCGCGAAAGCUAGGGUAGCAAACGGG